UUUUAAUACCAAGAUUGUUGAAAUGGGUGAAAGUGUGAUUGAGUUUUGCGAGCUGAAAAAUGUUUAGAAAGGAGCAGGAGAAUCAUUAUAGAGCGAAUGCUCACUAAACAUUCAAACAAUAAGCAGUUAGUUUGCGUGACUCACAUUUGGAGUCUUAAACUAAGCUGUGAGGUUUGAUGUUAUACAAAAAAAAAAAAAAAACUAGUUCAAUCUGGUGACAUUUAUGAAACUUUUCCCUCCAACUCUUGCAUGCUUUGGUGCACUAAGUGUACCACAAGCAGCCAGUAAAACCGUACUAAAUGUAUGCGUGCGCCAUCCAUCUCCUGAAUGAAUCCCGCCUCAUCUCCUCUGCCUCAAUUAUUCAUGUAUUUCAGAAGAGGAAGAGAAUCCAGACUCAGCAUCUAUAUUUAAACUCUGACUGAUCUGUGGUGGUUAUAUAAAUAGAAACAGUUUAGGGUCUGGGGUAGCACACAGGGAAGCAGCUUUUUGCAAAAGAAAAAAAAAGGAAUGUACCUAAGGUAGCACAAUAUUUGUACAAACAGGAAAAAGCUAAAAGACUCAUUUAAAAUAGUCGUGUUUUAAUGCGAGUAAUAAAUCUCUGAACGCAGAUGAAUGUGAAAGAUUUUAUUUUUAGCCUCGGUGUACAGUAACACGUUGCUAAAAAUACGAAGUAAACUAUCAUAUUGUUCGGGGAUGUUGCUGCUCUAAUAUUGAAUGUGUGGUUCAAUUAUUUAUUUAUUUAUUUAUUUAUUUCGUAAGGCACAGAACAUCCCAGCGUUCUCCGCAAAUAUCAGCAGGUAAAGUGAAAAAAAUAGUAAAAAAACCACGAGAAAAGCAUUUGAAACACACAGAGAAAAGACACACAACUCCUCCACACAUGCACUCAAUCAACAAUGAUGCAUGAAUAGAAGGCAGCUGCAAGUCUCACAGAGAUGACAGUUGCCAUGGUGACGGUGACAGCAAACUUUUUAAAACAUUUCAGAAAUGGCACUGAAAUAAAGGAAAAAGAAAAGAGGAGAAACAAAGGAUGAAGAAACGUUAGGAGAACAAGUCAGAGGAUGACCUUGUCGGAGCAAAGAUCUGCGGCUGUUUGGAAAGGAUGCUUCAGCUUCUCCAUUCCCACUGAAUGACCUCCCUUCAUCUGACCCGUCUUCUCCAUCCUCUACUCAAACUUCACGAACAUGAACCUCCUCUUUGGUCUCUUGCCUGGUAGCUCUAGCAUCCUCUGGACAUGACCGAACCAUCGAACCCCGGGCUCAAACUGCAUCUCUCUCCUAUAUUCUUCAUUACUUAUUUUUAUUUAUGCUCCUGUUUGGUGCAGUGCGGUUCAUGUGUUGUUCGGGAAAGUGGCUAUAAGCUAGUGGGAGACAGAGUAAACAAAUACAGGGUUUUCAUUUCAGUAGUCAAAGAAUUCCACUCUUUUACUCCUAUAAACACAAAACCUCUUUGUCUUAAUGAAGUUCAUACAGAGAGUAAAAAAAGUCUCAUUUCCUUCUAUUACUACAAUCAAUAAUUAAUUUAAAUUUCCUACAAAUAUGCUGUGGAACCAAUAAGUUUUUGAUCUUCCACAUGGUCACCACUGUAUUUAACUUUACAAGAUCUGGGGAUUUAAGAGUGAUUUUAGAUUUGACAGAGAUCAUGGGUCACCCAUCCCUCUUGGUCCAGUAUCAUUUAUAAUUCUCAUAUCUUUUUUCUGGAGUAAAGUAAAUCUGUUAGUAAAGCUUUUAGAAGUAUUUCCCCACACCUUGUUAAAAUAAAGAAGAUAUGGGACAAUUAAGGAGUCAUAUAUUAUAUCUAGGGCAUCUUUAUCAAAAUAUGAUUUACUUUAUAUAAAAUACCAAUGUGUUUCCCUAAUUUCCUGCUUAUAUAAUCAAUGUGGGAUUUCCAGCUAAGUUUAUAAUCAUGUACCACUCCUAAAUAUUUUAUUUCAGAAACAUUUUGAAUAAGAGCUUCAUCAAUUUUAAUAUUUUUACUUCCGUCAUAUUUCCUUGUUCUGAAAAUUACACAUUUAGUCUUUUUCUAAUUUAAAAUUAAUUUAUGGACUUUAAACUAUCUUUGUAGAAUAACCAGAAUAACUAAUUCUAAAUUAUUCCCAGAGCUGUAAACAGUCGUAUCAUCAGCAAAAAACAAAACAUUUAAUCUCAGUUGAGAUUUCGAAGAUGUCAUUCAUAAAUAGUAUAAAAAGUUUAGGUCCGAUUACAGAACCUUGUGGAAUUCCAGACGAUACCGUCUCACAUUUUGAUUUUGAGUUAUUCAUUUGAACAUAUUGUUGUCAGUUUUCAAGGUAACUUUCCAACCAUUUAAAUACCUCUUAUGCCAUAAUUGCCCAAAUUUGUUAACAAAAUAUCACGAUUUACGGUAUCAAAUCAAGAAAUUAACUGACCGUAAUCAAUUGCAGCCAGAACCUCCUGUGUGAAGUGAAUGAGUGCAGUACAGGUAGAUCUGUCAGAUCGGAAUCCAUUUUAAUAUAAAAAAAAAAAAUUCUAAAAUUUCUAAUGAAAUCCUGCAGAAACUAUGUCCUAGAAAAUGACACGUGUUUGAAAAAUGGCAUCGUCUCAUUUGAAAGACCACUGAGAACACAGUUACAGUCGAUCGGCAGAAUAAACAGAACAAAGUUCACAUGCUGCUCUGUUAGCUUAUGUCGCAGCUCUGAUGUCUUUAGGGAUUUAGACGCAUAUUUACAUCACCACACAAAUAAUUAAAUUAUACAGAAGUUCUCCUUCGUGUAUUAUCUGGUUCCUUUUUGGAAUAUUUGGGAAUUAUAGAAUAAAACGGUUUCGUUUGUGUGACUUGUUUGGGUCUGAAAACUGGUGCAGGAACUUUCUCUUAUAUCAUCCGAUAUCUUAAUGAAUUCUGCCUCGGUUUAUUCCCCUUACAUUUAUAUAAUUCAUUCACACGAGGUAAAAACAGGCUACAAUGGAAGCACAUUCUGCACCAGCGAAAGGAAACGUGACCGUCUUGCAGAGAGAGGCACAACCAGCAGGAGCCCGGGGCACUCUGGGUUUUAGGACUUUCAAUCAGCACAAAAAUAAAUGAGUAAAACAUCUAAAACUGUUGCUUCCAUAAAUACAGAAACAACGAAGAUCAAAGCUUUUACUGUUUUUGUGGCAUGGUACAAUCUUCCGCACAAAACAUUGCUAAUGUGCCAUAUUU
This is a long non-coding RNA of Oryzias melastigma (Indian medaka), 3153 nucleotides long. RefSeq lists it as uncharacterized. The transcript is spliced from 3 exons. The record is from RefSeq and is a predicted model, not a curated record. Lineage: Eukaryota; Metazoa; Chordata; Actinopteri; Beloniformes; Adrianichthyidae.